CGGCGGUUGCGGUGCUUGCCCUGCCCCGGCUCCGGCACUGCACACAAAGAUGCCAAGUUUCCUUUUGGGAUAAGCUGUAGAGAAACAAGAACUCUGACAUAAUCCCCUAGACAGAAAGAGAAAGAAACGGAGAGGACAAUGUAGGAAAGGCAGCAAAAACAAGGAAAUUGAGGAAUUACUUAAAAAAAAAAAGCUGCGAGUCACUCCUACAGGACGCAACGCUCCCAGUUUCUCCCAGCCGCCAGCCUGGAGGGGCCAAAUGCCGCCGGAUCUGAUCCACAGAUUCUGCGCUCCCAAAAAUCGCGGAGGAAGACAGGGCUUUUCAAAAGGUAAUGAAUGUGAAAAGGAUGGAACCUACCAAGGAGAGGAAAAGACACCAGUUCUGAGUGCACAGUGGAGAUGCCACCCAAGACAUGGCCAGGAGCUGGCCAGGGAGACAGCCCUCGGGAGAAAGCAAGACAACUUUCUUAAUCUUCCAGCCUCCAGAACUGCAAGAACACAAAUCUCUCUG
RNAcentral lists this long non-coding RNA (511 nucleotides) under Fukomys damarensis (Damara mole-rat). RNAcentral describes it as "lncRNA (ENSFDAG00000024851.1)". The record is from RNAcentral. Lineage: Eukaryota; Metazoa; Chordata; Mammalia; Rodentia; Bathyergidae.